This is a long non-coding RNA of Peromyscus eremicus (cactus mouse), 437 nucleotides long. RefSeq lists it as uncharacterized. NCBI's taxonomy places the organism in Eukaryota, Metazoa, Chordata, Mammalia, Rodentia, Cricetidae. The record is from RefSeq and is a predicted model, not a curated record. The transcript is spliced from 3 exons.
CUGAUAUUUUAAGAUCUAUGUAAAAAUUCUAAAUCUAAAGAAUACAGUUCUCUCUGACUUCCCUUUAACACCCAGUCUGCCAACCAAACUAGACAACCUCAUAAGACAGUAGUGCUUCGGCACAAUCAAAACUGGAUGACAUUAAGAAGCACCCAUUUGAUAUCAUAUUUAGAGUUUUGGUUGGAGUACCGAAUUUAAUUGUUUUUUGCAUUAUGGUUUUUCACGCUAUUUGUAAGAAGGACCCGUCACCAAGAGGGCUCAACAAAGAAAAUAUGGCAGCUAUAUCAUCCAAUGUAUCAGCUUGUCAACUCGAUAUAACAACUGAAGAUCAUCUAGAAACCCAGCUUUUACCAUUAAAUGUAAAUCAGCAUCCGGGCCCUCAUGCCAAGAAAAACUAUGUAUAACAAGCAGUGCAAUAAAAUAAAUUCAGCCUUCAA